RNAcentral lists this ribosomal RNA (468 nucleotides) under uncultured bacterium. RNAcentral describes it as "bacterial SSU rRNA". It matches the Rfam family "Bacterial small subunit ribosomal RNA", at positions 328 to 793 of the family's 1533-position model. The record is from RNAcentral.
UCGCCAGACUCCUACGGGAGGCAGCAGUGAGGAAUAUUGGUCAAUGGGCGUAAGCCUGAACCAGCCAAGUCGCGUGAGGGACGACGGCCCUACGGGUUGUAAACCUCUUUUGCCGGGGGACAAACGGCGGCACGCGUGCCGUCCUGAGGGUACCCGGAGAAAAAGCAUCGGCUAACUCCGUGCCAGCAGCCGCGGUAAUACGGAGGAUGCGAGCGUUAUCCGGAUUUAUUGGGUUUAAAGGGUGCGCAGGCGGAAGAUCAAGUCAGCGGUAAAAUUGAGAGGCUCAACCUCUUCGAGCCGUUGAAACUGGUUUUCUUGAGUGAGCGAGAAGUAUGCGGAAUGCGUGGUGUAGCGGUGAAAUGCAUAGAUAUCACGCAGAACUCCGAUUGCGAAGGCAGCAUACCGGCGCUCAACUGACGCUCAUGCACGAAAGUGUGGGUAUCGAACAGGAUUAGAUACCCCUGUAAG